RNAcentral lists this ribosomal RNA (258 nucleotides) under uncultured bacterium. RNAcentral describes it as "partial small subunit ribosomal RNA". It matches the Rfam family "Bacterial small subunit ribosomal RNA", at positions 26 to 286 of the family's 1533-position model. The record is from RNAcentral.
AGGACGAACGCUGGCGGCGUGCUUAACACAUGCAAGUCGAACGGAAAGGCCCUUUCGGGGGUACUCGAGUGGCGAACGGGUGAGUAACACGUGGGUGAUCUGCCCUGCACUUCGGGAUAAGCUUGGGAAACUGGGUCUAAUACCGGAUAGGACUACGGACUUCAUGGUUUGUGGUGGAAAGCUUUUGCGGUGUGGGAUGGGCCCGCGGCCUAUCAGCUUGUUGGUGGGGUAACGGCCUACCAAGGCGACGACGGGUAG